RNAcentral lists this ribosomal RNA (497 nucleotides) under uncultured bacterium. Its description in RNAcentral is "partial 16S ribosomal RNA". It matches the Rfam family "Bacterial small subunit ribosomal RNA", at positions 28 to 507 of the family's 1533-position model. The record is from RNAcentral.
GAUGAACGCUGGCGGCGUGCCUAAUACAUGCAAGUCGAGCGAACAGACGAGGAGCUUGCUCCUCUGACGUUAGCGGCGGACGGGUGAGUAACACGUGGAUAACCUACCUAUAAGACUGGGAUAACUUCUGGAAACCGUAGCUAAUACCGGAUAAUAUAUUAAACCGCAUGGUUCAAUAUUGAAAGACGGUUUUGCUGUCCCUUAUAGAUGGAUCCGCGUCUCAUUAGCUAGUUGGUAAGGUAACGGAUUACCAAGGCAACGAUGCGUAGCCGACCUGAGAGGGUGAUCGGCCACACUGGAACUGAGACACGGUCCAGACUCCUACGGGAGGCAGAAGUAGGGAAUCUUCCGCAAUGGGCGAAAGCUUGACGGAGCAACGCCGCGGGAGUGAGGAAGGUCUUCGGAUCGUAAAACUCUGUGAUUAGGGAAGAACAAAUGGGUAAGUAAAUAUGCACGUCUUGACGGUACCUUAUCAGAAAGCCACGGCUAACUACGUG